UACGAAGGGGGCUAGCGUUGCUCGGAAUCACUGGGCGUAAAGCGCACGUAGGCGGAUUGCUAAGUCAGGGGUGAAAUCCUGGAGCUCAACUCCAGAACUGCCUUUGAUACUGGCGACCUUGAGUCCGGGAGAGGUGAGUGGAACUGCGAGUGUAGAGGUGAAAUUCGUAGAUAUUCGCAAGAACACCAGUGGCGAAGGCGGCCAUCUGGACCGUUUCUGACGCUGAGGCGCGAAAGCGUGGGGAGCAAACAGG
RNAcentral lists this ribosomal RNA (253 nucleotides) under uncultured bacterium. RNAcentral describes it as "partial 16S ribosomal RNA". It matches the Rfam family "Bacterial small subunit ribosomal RNA", at positions 524 to 776 of the family's 1533-position model. The record is from RNAcentral.